This 531-nucleotide ribosomal RNA is filed under the name Triticum aestivum (bread wheat). Its description in RNAcentral is "partial small subunit ribosomal RNA". The record is from RNAcentral. Lineage: Eukaryota; Viridiplantae; Streptophyta; Magnoliopsida; Poales; Poaceae.
AUGGUCUUGGCCUUGGUGAUGGUCUUGGCCUUGGUGGUGGACUUGGCCAUGGUGAUGGACAAGGGCAAAGUCGUUAUAGAGGAAUGUUUGGAUACCUUGAUGGACCAUUUCCGUAUGGCGGCUUCCCAACCCAACAAACCAACAAUGAAUGAGGAUGGCGAAGAUGAGAUGGCGGGAUGGUGGGAGAAGGCUGCGAAGAAGCUGAGAGAGGAGGAUGCAGCCGCACUAAAGAAGAAGAAGGAAGAGGAUCUUGAAGAGAAGAGGAAGGAAAGAGUGAGAGCGUCAAAUGAGUGUCGCGCCAGGGAGCAAGCAUUGGUGAGGAAAUGUGAGGAGGCACAGAAGAAGCGUCAAAAGGAUUUUAAAGAAAGAACCAUGAAGCUUUGGGCAAUUGCAGCUGAAAAAAGAGAGAGGGAGAAUCAGAUAUUCAUGGAGAGGGUGGUUAAGGAGGCUCACCUCAUAAGGAAAAGGGAGGAGGAAGAGGAAGAAGAGAGGAAGAAGAAGAAGGGAAAGGGGCCUUGCUCUACGCAAUAG